CAGUCUGUGUUGGCUGAUGUUUGUGGUGGACAGCCAGAAUAAGAAGGCAGCAGAGGAAGAUUGUUAAGGAAGAUGAAAGAAGACCCCCAGAGAAAGGCAGAGUGGGUUGAUGGCCACUUGAGGGCAUGAUGCUGGACUGCAUGGGCUACUGGCUUGAUUCAGCAGGCUCACAUGUUCUUAUGGUGGCUUAGAGUGCAGAGUUGAGGGGAGAAACUGACCCCAGUGCUAAGAAGUGAGAGGCAGUUUGGAACGCUGGUCUCUAGUGUCUGGUAGGGGAGUCAGAGGAAGAUUCCACAACAGUGCAGCAAAAACAGACCUUCAGUAGGCAAUGAAGACCACAAAAAAAGUCCAGCACCUGUAUCCAAGAACCCAUAUCUAAGUGCCUCUAAAUAAGUGAGACUGAAAAGAACAAGGCCAGAGGCUGGAGAAUCUAAAAGCUAUAGAAGGAAACAAAUUAGUUCGCUUGCUGGAAGGAGAAGCUCACAUCCUGAGCAGAACUGAGGAGCUGCCAGCGCCUGUCAUAAUGAAACAUAUCAAUGCCUUCUGGAGGAUUAUGCCACCGACAUCUUUUUCAACGAGGCUUUUGAAAGACUUUUGAAUAGCCAGAGAGGAGACAGAUUGUUAUUGCCCUCUUGUUCCCCUUUGCCUUGCUAAUGUUAAUGACCCCAGACUUUGCAUUUCUCCUCCCCUCUGCAACUCCCCCCUGCUGAAUAAUUGAGAAUGCAUAUACCAAGAAAUCAUGAAGAUGUAAGAUAGCCAGCACAUUAAUGAUGCCGCACAAUCCAACAACUGGGCUGAAUCCGUAUGUUCAGAAACAGAUAAGGGAAACUUGAUAGGCUUCUCCACUCCCAGACUGCCUCCAAUCAGCACUGGAUUUAGGGCAAUGUAGGUGGUUCCUCUGCACAGAGUGCCGAACCGAGGGGCCUCCCAAAUUGAGAAGACCCAUAGUUGAGAAGAUCCAUUUUGGGGUAGCAGAAGGCGCCAUAUUGCAAAAGAUUACCUAAGUCCAGGCCUGCUCCAAUUUCUAAGGUCUUCCCAGUGUGAUUGGGCCUUAUCAUCUAAAACAGGGUUAGCCAAUGAUGUGCCCUCCGGAUAGGAUUGGACUACAAGUCCCAUCAGCCUCAGUCUGCAGGGCUGAUGGAAGUUGUAAUCCAGCAACAUCUGGAGGGCACCAAUUGGCUACCGUUGCUAAAGAACACUUAUUUCUGAAGUGAGUUCUGGGAUUCACUGAACUUUUCUAGAAACUAAUAGUGGACUCACCUCAAUAAUGGAGGAAAAGCUUCACUGAAGGGCAGGUUGUCUACCUCUAUGGACCUUCUCUGUGAGGAAGGGACACUAGUAACUGUAAAGUACAAAAGCAGUUUGCACAAAGCAAUGAUGAGGGCCGCUAAGUCUGGCUAGUCUGAACAAAUUGAGAGGGAGCCCUAGAACACUCAUUAGCUUCCUUUACAGCUUUGUAGGGGGAUUGUUGACAGACCAAUAAAUAUAGAAAUGGUUUAAAUGACUGUGGCUGACCUUUAAUUCCAUUUAAUAUACUGUGAUCCACAUUUGAAUGGGUAUUCCUGUUGAUUUCAUGAGAUGUCCAAUGGCCUUUUGAAAUGCGUUGGGGAGGAGGGGGUGAUUGUUGUGGUUGUUUUUAUUACGUAUUUUGUGUUUUUAUAUUGUGAUUUUAUGUUGUAAGUGCCCUGAGACCUACGGGUAUAUGACGGUAUACAAAUUUAAUAAAAC
Podarcis raffonei (Aeolian wall lizard) is the source of this 1728-nucleotide long non-coding RNA. RefSeq lists it as uncharacterized. Lineage: Eukaryota; Metazoa; Chordata; Lepidosauria; Squamata; Lacertidae. The transcript has 3 exons. The record is from RefSeq and is a predicted model, not a curated record.